This 764-nucleotide ribosomal RNA is filed under the name uncultured bacterium. RNAcentral's name for it is "bacterial SSU rRNA". It matches the Rfam family "Bacterial small subunit ribosomal RNA", at positions 63 to 817 of the family's 1533-position model. The record is from RNAcentral.
CGAGGGGCAGCAUGAACUUAGCUUGCUAAGUUUGAUGGCGACCGGCGCACGGGUGAGUAACACGUAUCCAACCUGCCGAUGACUCGGGGAUAGCCUUUCGAAAGAAAGAUUAAUACCCGAUGGCAUAGUUCUUCCGCAUGGUGGAACUAUUAAAGAAUUUCGGUCAUCGAUGGGGAUGCGUUCCAUUAGGUUGUUGGCGGGGUAACGGCCCACCAAGCCUUCGAUGGAUAGGGGUUCUGAGAGGAAGGUCCCCCACAUUGGAACUGAGACACGGUCCAAACUCCUACGGGAGGCAGCAGUGAGGAAUAUUGGUCAAUGGACGAGAGUCUGAACCAGCCAAGUAGCGUGAAGGAUGACUGCCCUAUGGGUUGUAAACUUCUUUUAUACGGGAAUAAAGUGAGGCACGCGUGCCUUUUUGUAUGUACCGUAUGAAUAAGGAUCGGCUAACUCCGUGCCAGCAGCCGCGGUAAUACGGAGGAUCCGAGCGUUAUCCGGAUUUAUUGGGUUUAAAGGGAGCGUAGGCGGACGCUUAAGUCAGUUGUGAAAGUUUGCGGCUCAACCGUAAAAUUGCAGUUGAUACUGGGUGUCUUGAGUACAGUAGAGGCAGGCGGAAUUCGUGGUGUAGCGGUGAAAUGCUUAGAUAUCACGAAGAACUCCGAUUGCGAAGGCAGCUUGCUGGACUGUAACUGACGCUGAUGCUCGAAAGUGUGGGUAUCAAACAGGAUUAGAUACCCUGGUAGUCCACACAGUAAACGAUGAAUACU